RNAcentral lists this ribosomal RNA (459 nucleotides) under uncultured bacterium. RNAcentral describes it as "partial 16S ribosomal RNA". It matches the Rfam family "Bacterial small subunit ribosomal RNA", at positions 338 to 795 of the family's 1533-position model. The record is from RNAcentral.
CCUACGGGAGGCAGCAGUGAGGCAUAUUGGUCAAUGGUCGGGAGACUGAACCAGCCAAGCCGCGUGAGGGAUGAAGGUACAGAGUAUCGUAAACCUCUUUUGUCAGGGAACAAAGGCGGGGACGUGUCCCCGGAUGAGUGUACCUGAAGAAAAAGCAUCGGCUAACUCCGUGCCAGCAGCCGCGGUAAUACGGAGGAUGCGAGCUUUAUCCGGAUUUAUUGGGUUUAAGGGGUGCGCAGGCGGUCUGUUAAGUCAGCGGGAAAAGCCCGGGGUCCAACCCCGGCCCGCCGUUGAAACUGGCAGUCUCGAGUUGGAGAGAAGUAUGCGGAAUGCGCGGUGUAGCGGUGAAAUGCAUAGAUAUCGCGCAGAACUCCGAUUGCGAAGGCAGCAUGCCGGCUCCACACUGACGCUGAGGCACGAAAGCGUGGGUAUCGAACAGGAUUAGAUACCCUAGUAGUC